GUGAGGAAUUUUCCGCAAUGGGCGAAAGCCUGACGGAGCAAUGCCGCGUGAAGGAUGAAGGCCUAUGGGUUGUAAACUUCUUUUCUUAGAGAAGAAUAUUGACGGUAUCUGAGGAAUAAGCAUCGGCUAACUCUGUGCCAGCAGCCGCGGUAAGACAGAGGAUGCAAGCGUUAUCCGGCAUGAUUGGGCGUAAAGCGUCUGUAGGUGGCUUCAAAAGUCUCCUGUCACAGAUCAGGGCUUAACCCUGGGCCGGCAGGAGAAACUCUGAGGCUAGAGUUUGGUAGGGGCAGAGGGAAUUCCCGGUGGAGCGGUGAAGUGCGUAGAGAUCGGGAGGAACACCAAAGGCGAAAGCACUCUGCUGGGCCACAACUGACACUGAGAGACGAAAGCGAGGGGAGCAAAAGGGAUUAGAAACCCCGGUAGUCC
RNAcentral lists this ribosomal RNA (426 nucleotides) under uncultured bacterium. RNAcentral's name for it is "partial 16S ribosomal RNA". It matches the Rfam family "Bacterial small subunit ribosomal RNA", at positions 354 to 796 of the family's 1533-position model. The record is from RNAcentral.